Molecule: long non-coding RNA, 214 nt
Filed under: Elaeis guineensis (African oil palm)
Lineage: Eukaryota; Viridiplantae; Streptophyta; Magnoliopsida; Arecales; Arecaceae
Description: long non-coding RNA (EGUI_LNC028964)
Source: RNAcentral
AAUAACUUACUAAUAUACACCAUAAAUUUUUUUGAUGCACAUACAACAAUGAUCCAACACAUACCUAUAAAUAAAUUGAUACAUAGAUUACCGAACUUAGUAUCCACUGGUACACGGUAUAUGAUCAGUUAAUAUACAUCUAGUAAAAUAUUCAUCCGACGUCCCAAUACACAUGUCUAGAUAAAGUGAUAUCUAGUUUUCAUGAACUUUUAGA